RNAcentral lists this ribosomal RNA (463 nucleotides) under uncultured bacterium. RNAcentral describes it as "bacterial SSU rRNA". It matches the Rfam family "Bacterial small subunit ribosomal RNA", at positions 28 to 507 of the family's 1533-position model. The record is from RNAcentral.
GACGAACGCUGGCGGCGUGCUUAACACAUGCAAGUCGAGCGAUGAAGCACCUUCGGGUGUGGAUUAGCGGCGAACGGGUGAGGAACACGUGAAGAAUUUGCCUUCAACUUUGGGAUAACUCCGGGAAACCGGGGCUAAUACCGGAUAUGAGCCUUGGCCGCAUGGCCGGGGCUGGAAAGUUUUUCGGUUGAAGAUGACUUCGCGGCCUAUCAGCUUGUUGGUGAGGUAACGGCUCACCAAGGCGACGACGGGUAGCCGGCCUGAGAGGGCGACCGGCCCCCCUGGGACUGAGACACGGCCCCGACUCCUACGGGAGGCAGCAGUGGGGAAUAUUGGGCAAUGGAGGAAACUUUGACCCAGCGACGCCGCGUGAGGGAUGAAGGCCUUCGGGUUGUAAACCUCUUUCAGUAGGGAAGAAGCGAAAGUGACGGUACCUACAGAAGAAGCACCGGCUAACUAUGUG